UGGGGAAUCUUAGACAAUGGGGGCAACCCUGAUCUAGCCAUGCCGCGUGAGUGACGAAGGUCUUAGGAUCGUAAAGCUCUUUCGCCGGGGAAGAUAAUGACGGUACCCGGUAAAGAAGUCCCGGCUAACUCCGUGCCAGCAGCCGCGGUAAUACGGAGGGGACUAGCGUUGUUCGGAAUUACUGGGCGUAAAGCGCGCGUAGGCGGAUAUUUAAGUCAGGGGUGAAAUCCCGGGGCUCAACCCCGGAACUGCCCUUGAUACUGGAUGUCUGGAGUUCGAGAGAGGUGAGUGGAAUUCCGAGUGUAGAGGUGAAAUUCGUAGAUAUUCGGAGGAACACCAGUGGCGAAGGCGGCUCACUGGCUCGAUACUGACGCUGAGGUGCGAAAGUGUGGGGAGCAAACAGGAUUAGAUACCCCCGUAGUCC
RNAcentral lists this ribosomal RNA (424 nucleotides) under uncultured prokaryote. RNAcentral describes it as "bacterial SSU rRNA". It matches the Rfam family "Bacterial small subunit ribosomal RNA", at positions 355 to 796 of the family's 1533-position model. The record is from RNAcentral.